GCUCUCGUAGCUCAGUUGGUUAGAACACUCGCUUAAUAAGCGAAGAUCUUGAGUUUGACUCUGAAUGAGAACA
This 73-nucleotide transfer RNA is filed under the name Nicotiana attenuata. It matches the Rfam family "tRNA". Rfam says of the family: Transfer RNA (tRNA) molecules are approximately 80 nucleotides in length. Their secondary structure includes four short double-helical elements and three loops (D, anti-codon, and T loops). The record is from Rfam by way of RNAcentral. Lineage: Eukaryota; Viridiplantae; Streptophyta; Magnoliopsida; Solanales; Solanaceae.